Molecule: ribosomal RNA, 495 nt
Filed under: uncultured bacterium
Lineage: Bacteria
Description: bacterial SSU rRNA
Rfam family: Bacterial small subunit ribosomal RNA
Source: RNAcentral
UGGUGCUGCAUGGCCGUCGUCAGCUCGUGUCGUGAGAUGUUUGGUUAAGUCCAGCAACGAGCGCAACCCCUGUUGCCAGUUACCUGCACGUGAAGGUGGGGACUCUGGCGAGACUGCCCAGAUCAACUGGGAGGAAGGUGGGGACGACGUCAGGUCAGUAUGGCCCUUAUGCCCAGGGCUGCACACGUACUACAAUGCCCAGUACAGAGGGGGCCGAAGCCGCGAGGCGGAGGAAAUCCUAAAAACUGGGCCCAGUUCGGACUGUAGGCUGCAACCCGCCUACACGAAGCCGGAAUCGCUAGUAAUGGCGCAUCAGCUACGGCGCCGUGAAUACGUUCCCGGGUCUUGUACACACCGCCCGUCACAUCAUGGAAGCCGGUCGCACCCGAAGUAUCUGAAGCCAACCGCAAGGAGGCAGGGUCCUAAGGUGAGACUGGUAACUGGGAUGAAGUCGUAACAAGGUAGCCGUAGGGGAACCUGCGGUUGGAUCACCUC